GAGUUUGUAUGUGUCAGGCAAGUAUUCUAUUGUUAUGGACAUGUGCAUGUUUGAUUUAAUUUUCAUGGAAAUAUAUGGUAAGUUUAAUUCUUGUUACAUGAACUUACUAAGUACUAAGUGUUUAUCCCGUUUUACUUUUCCCUAUUUUAUAAUGUUCAGAAGCUCGGGAGGUCGAAGAUAGGUCAGAGCCACAUCACACUAUCAACCACCACAUUUUGUUAUAUAAAAAUGUUUCAUUUUGAGUUAAUGGCAUGUAUAG
Molecule: long non-coding RNA, 259 nt
Filed under: Gossypium barbadense (sea-island cotton)
Lineage: Eukaryota; Viridiplantae; Streptophyta; Magnoliopsida; Malvales; Malvaceae
Description: long non-coding RNA (GBAR_LNC007980)
Source: RNAcentral